UACGGAGGAUGCAAGCGUUAUCCGGAUUUAUUGGGUUUAAAGGGUGCGUAGGCGGAUUAAUAAGUCAGCGGUGAAAACCUUCAGCUUAACUGGAGACUUGCCAUUGAUACUGUUAGUCUUGAGUAUGGUUAAGGUAGGCGGAAUGUGUAAUGUAGCGGUGAAAUGCUUAGAUAUUACACAGAACACCAAUUGCGAAGGCAGCUUACUGAGCCAUAACUGACGCUGAUGCACGAAAGCGUGGGGAGCGAACAGG
Molecule: ribosomal RNA, 253 nt
Filed under: uncultured bacterium
Lineage: Bacteria
Description: partial 16S ribosomal RNA
Rfam family: Bacterial small subunit ribosomal RNA
Source: RNAcentral